UGGUGGGGUAGAGGCGCGGAAAAUAUGAGUAAUAUAAUGGAGGCCGGCAGCCGUUGAAAUUAUAUGAAAGGAUAACCGCCGAAGCAUUCAGAAUGCCUGUCUGUAUGCUGGGCCUGUAUCAAAGAGGUACGGGACUGUCACAUAUGGUUUCCCUUAAAUUAUAUGUGGAGAGCUAUCUUGCUU
RNAcentral lists this non-coding RNA (183 nucleotides) under Oxobacter pfennigii. RNAcentral describes it as "Lysine sequence". It matches the Rfam family "Lysine riboswitch aptamer". Rfam says of the family: Riboswitches are metabolite binding domains within certain messenger RNAs that serve as precision sensors for their corresponding targets. The record is from Rfam by way of RNAcentral. Lineage: Bacteria; Bacillati; Bacillota; Clostridia; Eubacteriales; Clostridiaceae.